This 451-nucleotide ribosomal RNA is filed under the name uncultured bacterium. Its description in RNAcentral is "bacterial SSU rRNA". It matches the Rfam family "Bacterial small subunit ribosomal RNA", at positions 354 to 796 of the family's 1533-position model. The record is from RNAcentral.
GUGGGGAAUAUUGGACAAUGGGGGGAACCCUGAUCCAGCCAUGCCGCGUGUGUGAAGAAGGCCUUUUGGUUGUAAAGCACUUUAAGCGAGGAGGAGGCUACCGAGAUUAAUACUCUUGGAUAGUGGACGUUACUCGCAGAAUAAGCACCGGCUAACUCUGUGCCAGCAGCCGCGGUAAUACAGAGGGUGCAAGCGUUAAUCGGAUUUACUGGGCGUAAAGCGCGCGUAGGUGGCCAAUUAAGUCAAAUGUGAAAUCCCCGAGCUUAACUUGGGAGUUGCAUUCGAUACUGGUUGGCUAGAGUAUGGGAGAGGAUGGUAGAAUUCCAGGUGUAGCGGUGAAAUGCGUAGAGAUCUGGAGGAAUACCGAUGGCGAAGGCAGCCAUCUGGCCUAAUACUGACACUGAGGUGCGAAAGCAUGGGGAGCAAACAGGAUUAGAAACCCUUGUAGUCC